RNAcentral lists this transfer RNA (82 nucleotides) under Microbacteriaceae bacterium. RNAcentral describes it as "tRNA-Leu". It matches the Rfam family "tRNA". From Rfam's summary of the family: Transfer RNA (tRNA) molecules are approximately 80 nucleotides in length. Their secondary structure includes four short double-helical elements and three loops (D, anti-codon, and T loops). Further hydrogen bonds mediate the characteristic L-shaped molecular structure. tRNAs have two regions of fundamental functional importance: the anti-codon, which is responsible for specific mRNA codon recognition, and the 3' end, to which the tRNAs corresponding amino acid is attached (by aminoacyl-tRNA synthetases). tRNAs cope with the degeneracy of the genetic code in two manners: having more than one tRNA (with a specific anti-codon) for a particular amino acid; and 'wobble' base-pairing, i.e. permitting non-standard base-pairing at the 3rd anti-codon position. Lineage: Bacteria; Bacillati; Actinomycetota; Actinomycetes; Micrococcales; Microbacteriaceae. The record is from RNAcentral.
GUGAGUGGCGAAAUUGGCAGACGCACUAGAUUUAGGUUCUAGCGCCCAUGGCGUGUGGGUUCAAGUCCCACCUUCCGCACCA